GGCGGGUUGGCAGAAUUGGCUAAUGCGCCGGUCUUGAAAACCGGUGGGGAUUCUAUCCCCUUGCAGGUUCGAGUCCUGCACCCGCCGCAA
Molecule: transfer RNA, 90 nt
Filed under: Candidatus Parcubacteria bacterium
Lineage: Bacteria; Candidatus Parcubacteria
Description: tRNA-Ser
Rfam family: tRNA
About the family: Transfer RNA (tRNA) molecules are approximately 80 nucleotides in length. Their secondary structure includes four short double-helical elements and three loops (D, anti-codon, and T loops).
Source: RNAcentral